UUCGAAUUGCUAAGGUUACAGGUUGCACUCUAAUACUUGUAAUUUCAAUUAGAGGUAAAAAGGGGAUUAGGAAUGAAGGGGUACCUGAAGGUAAGAGGGAUGCAAGGGAUGAAUAUCUGUUGUAAAAGCACCAUCCGUUCGUGGCCGUUUACCAGCUCUGUCUGGCACCUGUGCGGGUGGCACGUAAAAAAAGGGCAUCCAGCCGUAGAAACACUGCCAGAUCAGACUGGAGCCUGGUGCAGCCUUCUGGCUUCACAGACCCCAGUUGAACUGUCCAACCCAUGCUAGCAUGGAAAACGGACGCUAAAUGAUGAUGAUGAUGAAUCAUAGGGGGGAAUGAGAGGGAAAAAGAUAUAGCUAAAUGACUAGUUGUUCUGAAAACAUAAGGAAUUAAUCCUAGGAGGUUAAAGUUAAUGAUUAUUAAAAAUAAUGAUGAAAUAAUUAGUGAAAAGCCUCCUAGAUUGUUUCUAAAAGAUCGAGUAAUUUGAAUGUUAAUGAUUUGUUUUGGGAUUAUUAAAGAGGAAUUUUAAAAAAUGAAGGGAAAAUUCAAAAUGAAGAAUUAAUGAGAAAAAGAGAUCAUAGGGAUAGAAUUCAUGUUAGAGAAUAAAGAUAUAAGGUUGUUGAAUUAUGAUCAUCAAAUGAAGAAAAAAUAUCUACUAUCAUUU
Molecule: long non-coding RNA, 665 nt
Filed under: Octopus vulgaris (common octopus)
Lineage: Eukaryota; Metazoa; Mollusca; Cephalopoda; Octopoda; Octopodidae
Source: RNAcentral